GAUGAAGAACGCAGCGAAAUGCGAUACUUGGUGUGAAUUGCAGAAUCCCGCGAAUCAUCGAGUUUUUGAACGCAAGUUGCGCCCAAAGCCAUUCGGCCGAGGGCACGUCUGCCUGGGUGUCACGCAUCGUUGCCCCCCCAAACUCCGGUUCGGGCGGGGCGGAAGUUGGCCUCCCGUGCGUGCCUGCGCGCGCGGUUAGCCCAAAAGCGAGUCCUCGGCGACGAGCGCCACGACAAUCGGUGGUUUUUUUACCCUCGUUCCUCGUCGUGCGUGUCCCGUCGCCCGAACGCGCUCUUGUGACCCUCACGCGUCGCCUCGGCGGCGCUCCCAACGCGACCCCAGGUCAGGCGGGACUACCCGCUGAGUUUAAGCAUAUCAAAUAAGCGGAGGA
RNAcentral lists this unclassified non-coding RNA (391 nucleotides) under soil metagenome. Its description in RNAcentral is "partial contains 5.8S ribosomal RNA, internal transcribed spacer 2, and large subunit ribosomal RNA". The stretch from base 1 to 122 matches the Rfam family "5.8S ribosomal RNA", at positions 35 to 154 of the family's 154-position model. The record is from RNAcentral.